CGGCACGCCUAACACAUGCAAGUCGAACGAAGUAGCAAUACUUAGUGGCAGACGGGUGAGUAACAUGUAGGUAUCUGCCCUUUGGCCUGGAAUAACACGAGGAAACUUGUGCUAAUACCGGAUAAGUCUUUACGGAGAAAGCUUUAUGCACCAUUGGAUGAGCCUGCACUUGAUUAGUUUGUUGGUGGGGUAAUGGCCUACCAAGACUGUGAUCAAUAGCUGAUUUGAGAGGAUGAUCAGCCACAUUGGGACUGAGACACGGCCCAAACUCCUACGGGAGGCAGCAGUGGGGAAUCUUGCACAAUGGAGGAAACUCUGAUGCAGCGAUGCCGCGUGAGUGAAGAAGGCCCUUGGGUUGUAAAGCUCUUUCGUCGGGGAAGAAAAUGACUGUACCCGAAUAAGAAGGUCCGGCUAACUUCGUGCCAGCAGCCGCGGUAAUACGAAGGGACCUAGCGUAGUUCGGAAUUACUGGGCUUAAAGAGUUCGUAGGUGGUUGAAAAAGUUGGUGGUGAAAUCCCAGAGCUUAACUCUGGAACUGCCAUCAAAACUUUUCAGCUA
This 558-nucleotide ribosomal RNA is filed under the name uncultured bacterium. Its description in RNAcentral is "bacterial SSU rRNA". It matches the Rfam family "Bacterial small subunit ribosomal RNA", at positions 40 to 643 of the family's 1533-position model. The record is from RNAcentral.